RNAcentral lists this ribosomal RNA (301 nucleotides) under uncultured bacterium. RNAcentral's name for it is "partial 16S ribosomal RNA". It matches the Rfam family "Bacterial small subunit ribosomal RNA", at positions 509 to 807 of the family's 1533-position model. The record is from RNAcentral.
CAGUCGCCACGGGAAUACGUAGGGUGCAAGCGUUAAUCGGAAUUACUGGGCGUAAAGCGUGCGCAGGCGGUUCGUUAAGACAGAUGUGAAAUCCCCGGGCUUAACCUGGGAACUGCAUUUGUGACUGGCGGGCUAGAGUAUGGCAGAGGGGGGUAGAAUUCCACGUGUAGCAGUGAAAUGCGUAGAGAUGUGGAGGAAUACCGAUGGCGAAGGCAGCCCCCUGGGCCAAUACUGACGCUCAUGCACGAAAGCGUGGGGAGCAAACAGGAUUAGAUACCCGCGUAGUCCCUGUCUCUUAUAC